RNAcentral lists this ribosomal RNA (463 nucleotides) under Leonia mammillaris. RNAcentral describes it as "partial 16S ribosomal RNA". It matches the Rfam family "Bacterial large subunit ribosomal RNA", at positions 1857 to 2565 of the family's 2925-position model. The record is from RNAcentral. Lineage: Eukaryota; Metazoa; Mollusca; Gastropoda; Littorinimorpha; Pomatiidae.
GCCUGCCCGGUGAUUAAUGGAAGUUAUAUUUAACGGCUGCGGUAUUCUGACUGUGCGAAGGUAGCAUAAUCACUUGCUUUAUAAUUGAAGGCUGGUAUGAAGGGUUUGACGAGAGCAAUGCUGUCUUAAUUGGAUUUUUUAGAAUUUAACUUUUAAGUGAAGAGGCUUAAAUUUAAUUGAUAGACAAGAAGACCCUAUCGAGCUUAAAUGUUUUGGUAAAUUUAAGAAGCAGUUGUUUGUAAUUUGAUUUUUAUGAAUAUAUUUUAGUUGGGGCGGCUGAGGAACAUAUAAAGCUUCUUUGGGUUUUUAUAGUAUAUAUGGUUAGUGAUCCAGUAUGAUUUGUGCUGAUUUUAGAUUUAGUUACCGUAGGGAUAACAGCAUAAUCUUUUUUGAGAGUUCUUAUUGAGAAGAAGGUUUGUGACCUCGAUGUUGGAUUAGAAUUUCCUAAAGGUGUAGAAGCUUU